AUUGAACGCUGGCGGCAUGCCUUACACAUGCAAGUCGAACGGCAGCACGGGAGCAAUCCUGGUGGCGAGUGGCGAACGGGUGAGUAAUAUAUCGGAACGUGCCCGGUCGCGGGGGAUAACGUAGCGAAAGCUACGCUAAUACCGCAUACGAUCUACGGAUGAAAGCGGGGGAUCGCAAGACCUCGCGCGAUUGGAGCGGCCGAUAUCAGAUUAGGUAGUUGGUGAGGUAAAGGCUCACCAAGCCGACGAUCUGUAGCUGGUCUGAGAGGACGACCAGCCACACUGGGACUGAGACACGGCCCAGACUCCUACGGGAGGCAGCAGUGGGAAUUUUGGACAAUGGGCGCAAGCCUGAUCCAGCAAUGCCGCGUGCAGGAUGAAGGCCUUCGG
Molecule: ribosomal RNA, 390 nt
Filed under: uncultured bacterium
Lineage: Bacteria
Description: bacterial SSU rRNA
Rfam family: Bacterial small subunit ribosomal RNA
Source: RNAcentral